This 299-nucleotide long non-coding RNA is filed under the name Trifolium pratense (red clover). RNAcentral's name for it is "long non-coding RNA (TPRA_LNC006761)". Lineage: Eukaryota; Viridiplantae; Streptophyta; Magnoliopsida; Fabales; Fabaceae. The record is from RNAcentral.
GUAAUCUCAUUGCUAUAUGAUUAGACUAUCUCUAAUUGGCAUGUUUGCUAGUGUUUUCUGCUAAACAUUCAGUUUUUCUAUUCAAUUUAUAGCAUGAGAAUAUCUUAGUAUGCUCUUGAACAAGGCUUUUGGCUGCAACUUGGAGCUGUAGUUAUUAUAUUUGUGUUGAAUGUUGAAUGGCUAAAUACCCUCAGCAAAAAUAAUUUCAGCAAACUGUGUAAAUUAUGCAACAGCUCUAAAACCACAAUUUCCAUCUCCUAACACUUCAAUAAUGUCAACAAUAUGUGGAUGUAUAUGAU